UGAGUAGACCGGAUGGUCGCCGGUCGCUCCACUCAAGUGAACGACGGGAGGAAAGUCCGAGCUCCAAAGGGCGAUGGUGCUGGUUAACGGCCAGCGGGGGCGACCCCAGGGAAAGUGCCACAGAGAGUAGACCGCCUCCCGGCGUCAGCCCGGAGGUAAGGGUGAAAGCGUGAGGUAAGAGCUCACGGGCACCCCGUGGUGACACGGGGAGUCGGUAAACCCCACCUGGAGCAAGAUCGUGAACGAGGUUGGCUUCGGCCACGGGCGGCCCGCCCGCGUCCUCGGGGUGUAUCGCUGGAGCGGCGGAGUAAUCCGUCGCCUAGAUGAAUGGCCAUCGCCGCGCAUCGGGUGACCGACACGCGGGACAAAACUCGGCUUACAGGCUGCUCACACU
This 394-nucleotide RNase P RNA is filed under the name Myxococcota bacterium. RNAcentral describes it as "RNase P RNA component class A". It matches the Rfam family "Bacterial RNase P class A". Rfam says of the family: Ribonuclease P (RNase P) is a ubiquitous endoribonuclease, found in archaea, bacteria and eukarya as well as chloroplasts and mitochondria. Its best characterised activity is the generation of mature 5'-ends of tRNAs by cleaving the 5'-leader elements of precursor-tRNAs. Cellular RNase Ps are ribonucleoproteins. Lineage: Bacteria; Pseudomonadati; Myxococcota. The record is from RNAcentral.